GCCGCUAUAGCUCAGUGGCUAGAGCGUUGGUCUCGUAAACCAAAGGUCGCGUGUUCGAAUCUCGUUGGCGGCA
Molecule: transfer RNA, 73 nt
Filed under: Trichonephila clavata
Lineage: Eukaryota; Metazoa; Arthropoda; Arachnida; Araneae; Nephilidae
Rfam family: tRNA
About the family: Transfer RNA (tRNA) molecules are approximately 80 nucleotides in length. Their secondary structure includes four short double-helical elements and three loops (D, anti-codon, and T loops).
Source: Rfam by way of RNAcentral